Molecule: non-coding RNA, 105 nt
Organism: Acanthosepion pharaonis
Lineage: Eukaryota; Metazoa; Mollusca; Cephalopoda; Sepiida; Sepiidae
Source: the annotation of a GenBank genome assembly
AUGGCCAUAUCAUGUUGAAACAUGGUUUCCAUAUGAUCACCAAAGUUAAGCAACAUCAAGCUUGGUCAGUACUUAAAUGGGUGGCUGCUUGGGAAUACCAGAUGU